UCUCCGUUGGUGAACCAGCGGAGGGAUCAUUACCGAGUUUACAACUCCCAAACCCAAUGUGAACCAUACCAAACUGUUGCCUCGGCGGGGUCACGCCCCGGGUGCGUCGCAGCCCCGGAACCAGGCGCCCGCCGGAGGGACCAACCAAACUUUUUCUGUAGUCCCCUCGCGGACGUUAUUUUUACAGCUCUGAGCAAAAAUUCAAAAUGAAUCAAAACUUUCAACAACGGAUCUCUUGGUUCUG
RNAcentral lists this unclassified non-coding RNA (244 nucleotides) under plant metagenome. RNAcentral's name for it is "partial contains small subunit ribosomal RNA, internal transcribed spacer 1, and 5.8S ribosomal RNA". The record is from RNAcentral.